RNAcentral lists this unclassified non-coding RNA (323 nucleotides) under soil metagenome. RNAcentral's name for it is "partial contains 5.8S ribosomal RNA, internal transcribed spacer 2, and large subunit ribosomal RNA". The stretch from base 4 to 119 matches the Rfam family "5.8S ribosomal RNA", at positions 39 to 154 of the family's 154-position model. The record is from RNAcentral.
GAUAAGAACGCAGUGAAAUGCGAUAAGUAAUGCGAAUUGCAGAAUUCAGUGAGUCAUCGAAUCUUUGAACGCACAUUGCGCCCUGUGGUAUUCCGCAGGGCAUGCCUGUUCGAGCGUCAUUUCAACCCUCAAGCCUCGCUUGGUGUUGGGCCCUGCCCGCCGCGGCCGGCCCUAAAGAUAGUGGCGGCGCCGCCUGGCCCUCAGCGUAGUACAGCUCUCGCUCCAGGGUCCGGCGGCAGCCUGCCAGAACCCCCCAACUCUGUGGUUGACCUCGGAUCAGGUAGGGAUACCCGCUGAACUUAAGCAUAUCAAUAAGCGGAGGA